UACGAAGGGGGCUAGCGUUGCUCGGAAUCACUGGGCGUAAAGGGUGCGUAGGCGGCUUGUUAAGUCAGGGGUGAAAUCCUGGAGCUCAACUCCAGAACUGCCUUUGAUACUGGCGAGCUUGAGUCCGGGAGAGGUGAGUGGAACUGCGAGUGUAGAGGUGAAAUUCGUAGAUAUUCGCAAGAACACCAGUGGCGAAGGCGGCUCACUGGCCCGGUACUGACGCUGAGGUGCGAAAGCGUGGGGAGCAAACAGG
Molecule: ribosomal RNA, 253 nt
Filed under: uncultured bacterium
Lineage: Bacteria
Description: partial 16S ribosomal RNA
Rfam family: Bacterial small subunit ribosomal RNA
Source: RNAcentral